RNAcentral lists this ribosomal RNA (600 nucleotides) under Saccharomyces cerevisiae (brewer's yeast). RNAcentral's name for it is "partial large subunit ribosomal RNA". It matches the Rfam family "Eukaryotic large subunit ribosomal RNA", at positions 45 to 659 of the family's 3401-position model. Lineage: Eukaryota; Fungi; Ascomycota; Saccharomycetes; Saccharomycetales; Saccharomycetaceae. The record is from RNAcentral.
AAAAAGCGGAGGAAAAGAAACCAACCGGGAUUGCCUUAGUAACGGCGAGUGAAGCGGCAAAAGCUCAAAUUUGAAAUCUGGUACCUUCGGUGCCCGAGUUGUAAUUUGGAGAGGGCAACUUUGGGGCCGUUCCUUGUCUAUGUUCCUUGGAACAGGACGUCAUAGAGGGUGAGAAUCCCGUGUGGCGAGGAGUGCGGUUCUUUGUAAAGUGCCUUCGAAGAGUCGAGUUGUUUGGGAAUGCAGCUCUAAGUGGGUGGUAAAUUCCAUCUAAAGCUAAAUAUUGGCGAGAGACCGAUAGCGAACAAGUACAGUGAUGGAAAGAUGAAAAGAACUUUGAAAAGAGAGUGAAAAAGUACGUGAAAUUGUUGAAAGGGAAGGGCAUUUGAUCAGACAUGGUGUUUUGUGCCCUCUGCUCCUUGUGGGUAGGGGAAUCUCGCAUUUCACUGGGCCAGCAUCAGUUUUGGUGGCAGGAUAAAUCCAUAGGAAUGUAGCUUGCCUCGGUAAGUAUUAUAGCCUGUGGGAAUACUGCCAGCUGGGACUGAGGACUGCGACGUAAGUCAAGGAUGCUGGCAUAAUGGUUAUAUGCCGCCCGUCUUGCCC